UACGGAGGGAGCUAGCGUUGUUCGGAAUUACUGGGCGUAAAGCGCACGUAGGCGGCUUUCUAAGUCAGGGGUGAAAUCCCGGGGCUCAACCCCGGAACUGCCCUUGAAACUGGAUGGCUAGAAUCCUGGAGAGGCGAGUGGAAUUCCGAGUGUAGAGGUGAAAAUUCGUAGAUAUUCGGAAGAACACCAGUGGCGAAGGCGACUCGCUGGACAGGUAUUGACGCUGAGGUGCGAAAGCGUGGGGAGCAAACAGG
This 254-nucleotide ribosomal RNA is filed under the name uncultured bacterium. RNAcentral's name for it is "partial 16S ribosomal RNA". It matches the Rfam family "Bacterial small subunit ribosomal RNA", at positions 524 to 776 of the family's 1533-position model. The record is from RNAcentral.